UUAGUUCGUCUGGGGUGCCAAUUAUUGGCUGAGAUUAGACCCAUCGAACCUGAUGUAGUUUGUACUACCGAAGGAAGACAACUUUUACUGAUU
Molecule: non-coding RNA, 93 nt
Filed under: Secundilactobacillus mixtipabuli
Lineage: Bacteria; Bacillati; Bacillota; Bacilli; Lactobacillales; Lactobacillaceae
Description: Lactobacillus mixtipabuli TPP sequence
Rfam family: TPP riboswitch aptamer (THI element)
About the family: Vitamin B(1) in its active form thiamin pyrophosphate (TPP) is an essential coenzyme that is synthesised by coupling of pyrimidine and thiazole moieties in bacteria. The previously detected thiamin-regulatory element, thi box was extended, resulting in a new, highly conserved RNA secondary structure, the THI element, which is widely distributed in eubacteria and also occurs in some archaea.
Source: Rfam by way of RNAcentral